GGCUUUUAAAAGACAGCCUGCACCUUAGUCAUUGCGCAAUUGAGGAUUUUCUGCUCUAAAUCAUUUGAUCUUGUUUACUAAAGAUGUUUGUACUAGGCUAUAUAUUGGGGGCAGCAGGUAGCCUAGUGGUUAGAGCGUAGGGCCAGUAACCAGAUCGAAUCCCCGAGCUGACAAGGAUCUUUGGAGUCAAGCCAAGAUGUGACCGUCAUGUUUUAGAUAGAAAACAGAACCCCUGUUUCUAUAGAAACAGAAAUAAUUGACAAUUAGAAAACUAUUAUUCCUAAAAUGCACUCCUCUAGCCGAACCUUCGCUCCGCCCUCGAGGCCUCGUCGCAUCGACACGAGCAGGCGGACCACCACCGCAGCGGAACCAAAGACACACGGCCCUGUUUCCCAGAGGGAAGACAAAAACAUGAACACCAUUUCCUCUCCUCGGCGCUCCACCAAAGCGACCCCCGAGUCUUCCAGGACCAGGGUGGGGGUCCAGCCUCGUGCCCCCAGAUUGGGCUUACAGAGAAACACAGCUCCCCUCUCUACGACCAAACCCAAACCCAAAAGUGUCCGUGCAGCAGCAGCUGUGUCCAAACGCGCCCCUCCUCCUCCUCCUCUUCCUCUUCUUCCUCAUCUGGACCCCAACUGUAAUGAACCCAGCCUGCCUUGUCUGUGCUGCGACGGCCAUUCCCCCCAGGACAAUAACAGUCUGUUCAACCACAACCACAACAACAACAAUACCAUCUCCAUCAGACAGCAGCUGAAGCUUCAGCCCCCUCCACCACCUCCCCUGCUACCCCAGAGACAGGAGGGGACAGGGGGCAAGACCAAGACACAGGCCAGCCCCUCUCAGACCAGGCCCCAGCCUCAGGUCCUGGCCCCGGCCUGCCCCCCUAAUGGCCUGGAACUGGAGAAAGGAAUAAAAGAUGAGGAGAAUGCAGAUGUUAACAAGAACACAGAUGUGGUCAUAGAUAACAAGAAAGAAACAGAGGAAGAGAUGGAUAACAAGAAAGAAAUGGAGGAAGAGAUGGAUAACAAGAAAGAAACGGAGGAAGAGAUGGAUAACAAGAAAGAAACAGAGGAGGAAGAGAUGGAUAACAAGAAAGAAACAGAGGAAGAGAUGGAUAACAAGAAAGAAACAGAGGAGGAAGAGAUGGAUAACAAGAAAGAAA
RNAcentral lists this long non-coding RNA (1162 nucleotides) under Salmo salar (Atlantic salmon). Its description in RNAcentral is "lncRNA (ENSSSAG00000084009.1)". Lineage: Eukaryota; Metazoa; Chordata; Actinopteri; Salmoniformes; Salmonidae. The record is from RNAcentral.